GACGAACGCUGGCGGCGUGCUUAACACAUGCAAGUCGAACGGAAAGGCCCUGCUUUUGUGGGGUGCUCGAGUGGCGAACGGGUGAGUAACACGUGAGCAACCUGCCCUUGACUUUGGGAUAACUUCAGGAAACUGGGGCUAAUACCGGAUAGGAGCUCCUGCUGCAUGGUGGGGGUUGGAAAGUUUCGGCGGUUGGGGAUGGACUCGCGGCUUAUCAGCUUGUUGGUGGGGUAGUGGCUUACCAAGGCUUUGACGGGUAGCCGGCCUGAGAGGGUGACCGGCAAAAUUGGGAAUGAGAGACGGCCCAGACUCCUACGGGAGGCAGCAGUGGGGAAUAUUGAACAAGGGGCGGAAGCCUGAUGCAGCAACGCCGCGUGCGGGAUGACGGCCUUCGGGUUGUAAACCGCUUUCGCCUGUGACGAAGCGUGAGGGACGGUAAUGGGUAAAGAAGCACCGGCUAACUACGU
Molecule: ribosomal RNA, 467 nt
Filed under: uncultured bacterium
Lineage: Bacteria
Description: partial 16S ribosomal RNA
Rfam family: Bacterial small subunit ribosomal RNA
Source: RNAcentral